GCCGCGGUAGCUCAAGUAGUAGAGCAUCGCACGUGAAAUGCGAAAGUUGUGGGUUCGGUUCCCACCUGCGGCA
RNAcentral lists this transfer RNA (73 nucleotides) under Dermacentor andersoni. Its description in RNAcentral is "transfer RNA serine (anticodon UGA)". It matches the Rfam family "tRNA". From Rfam's summary of the family: Transfer RNA (tRNA) molecules are approximately 80 nucleotides in length. Lineage: Eukaryota; Metazoa; Arthropoda; Arachnida; Ixodida; Ixodidae. The record is from RNAcentral.